GGCACAGUGGUGUAGUGGUUAGCAUGUUUGCCUUGCACCUCCGGGGUUGGGGCUUCAAAUUCCGCCUCCACCC
This is a non-coding RNA of Ameiurus melas (black bullhead), 73 nucleotides long. Lineage: Eukaryota; Metazoa; Chordata; Actinopteri; Siluriformes; Ictaluridae. The record is from the annotation of a GenBank genome assembly.